This 45-nucleotide non-coding RNA is filed under the name Schistosoma mansoni. The record is from RNAcentral. Lineage: Eukaryota; Metazoa; Platyhelminthes; Trematoda; Strigeidida; Schistosomatidae.
AUCCAGCUGACGAGUCCCAAAUUGGACGAAACGUGCGUCCUGGAU